AGGUGGACUUUGGCUCCCCUCCUCUCAGUCAGCUUUAAUCCUUCUAAUCCUUAUCAGGGUCACUCAGUCUGUGUGACACUCUUAAUUUGGUCCCAAUGCUUGUUAUGUGUCAAUGUUGCGUGUAACUACAUUUUGAUAUUUUGUCCAUUUAGCUUCGGAAAACCUGCUUGCGCAGUUCGAUGCGCAUCAGUGGUUCUCGCAGACAACAAAAUGGAGGCCAAGACAAGGCUCUCAUGAUGCGCUCAGCUGAACAGCGGGGGUCAAAAUGAUUGCACCACAGCAUUUCCCUAAUUGCCUGCUCAACAUGAACAACAGUAAUAACAAUGCUGA
This is a long non-coding RNA of Syngnathus acus (greater pipefish), 330 nucleotides long. RefSeq lists it as uncharacterized. NCBI's taxonomy places the organism in Eukaryota, Metazoa, Chordata, Actinopteri, Syngnathiformes, Syngnathidae. The record is from RefSeq and is a predicted model, not a curated record. The transcript has 3 exons.